This 253-nucleotide ribosomal RNA is filed under the name uncultured bacterium. Its description in RNAcentral is "partial 16S ribosomal RNA". It matches the Rfam family "Bacterial small subunit ribosomal RNA", at positions 524 to 776 of the family's 1533-position model. The record is from RNAcentral.
UACGUAGGGGGCAAGCGUUGUCCGGAAUCAUUGGGCGUAAAGAGCGCGUAGGCGGCCCUGUAAGUCCGCUGUGAAAGUCAAGGGCUCAACCCUUGAAUGCCGGUGGAUACUGCAGGGCUAGAGUCCGGAAGAGGCGAGUGGAAUUCCUGGUGUAGCGGUGAAAUGCGCAGAUAUCAGGAGGAACACCGAUGGCGAAGGCAGCUCGCUGGGACGGUACUGACGCUUAGGCGCGAAAGCGUGGGGAGCAAACAGG